AAGUUUGUUCGUUGACGUGGGAUUCAACACGGAGCAAGGAGAAAAUGCAUGAAUUCGGGAUAGCCAUGGGGUAAGGAUGGAUCGCGGGAAACUCGGAAGGAAGAUUGGAAUCGAUCCAGGUUGGAUGAAGGGUUGAUUAGUUUGUUCAGUUUGAAGAUUUUAUUCAGCUGGGAAGAAGUUCAUGUGGCUGGGAAUAGGGGAUGAUGAAUCGGUUGAAGAUGCCGAUGGGAAGAGGAUGAGGAUGCUAGGAUUUGGAUUCGGAGUGUGGAGUUGGGAGGUUGGUUGUGCUUCCGUUGGCUGGAGAUCUGGAAGAUGGGCGUGAGAUAAGGAUAAACUUGGAACAAGAUGAGAGCUGGGAAAUGUGAUCCGAGAAGAUAAACUUGGGAAAGAAUGGGAAUAGAAACAGGGGAAGCGGAACGGCUGGGAAGUUGAGUUCUUGGGAUUCUUUUUGAUAUGGAUGAAGGGAAGAAAUGAUUCGUGAGCUGGGAGUUUGGUUGGAUUUGUGAGGUGCGGGAGAUCACAAGUGGUCGCUGUGAUGUGGAGCAAUGUAUGCGGAUGGGAAGCNNNNNNNNNNNNNNNNNNNNUUGUGGAGCAAUGUAUGCGGAUGGGAAGGAAGCAGAGGAGGCUGUGAACGGUGGAUAAGAACUGAAGUCGGUUGGGAGAUGAUGAGUUUUCGGAUGCUGGAUUUGUUCCGAAGAAGGGAUAAGAGAGGCUUUGAUUUGCGGUUGGCUUGGUUCUGACUAGGACACGGAGCAGGGGAAGACAUGGAAGCUUGAUCUCUGAGCACUAAAAAGGGUGACGUAGAUACGGGUUCAGCUGUAAACGCGACUUGCACACAUUAGUUCAGACAUCAUCCCAAUUAAUUCGACUUGACCUGCACACAUUAGACUUAACCAAUAAAAUCAAGCGAAAUCGAAUUAUUUUUAAUAAUACAAUGAUGAAGGGGAACACAUUUUCUUAUGUUAAAUUUAAAAUAUGUGCAAGGAAAAUAAUGAUAAGUGCAGUAUAAAAUAGUUAAAUAUAUAUAUUAUUUAGCACUU
RNAcentral lists this long non-coding RNA (1040 nucleotides) under Phoenix dactylifera (date palm). RNAcentral's name for it is "long non-coding RNA (PDAC_LNC001660)". Lineage: Eukaryota; Viridiplantae; Streptophyta; Magnoliopsida; Arecales; Arecaceae. The record is from RNAcentral.